GAGUAACGCGUGAGCAACCUGCCUUACAGAGGGGGAUAGCCAUUGGAAACGAUGGAUAAUACCGCAUAACGUACGAUCAUGGCAUCAUGGAUGUACCAAAGGAGCAAUCCGCUGUAAGAUGGGCUCGCGUCCGAUUAGAUAGUUGGCGGGGUAACGGGCCCACCAAGUCGACGAUCGGUAGCCGGACUGAGAGGUUGAACGGGCCACGAUUGGGACUGAGACACGGCCCAGACUCCUACGGGAGGCAGCAGUGAGGGGUAUUGCACAAUGGGCGAAAGCCUGAUGCCAGCAACGCCGCGUGAGGAAGACGGUUUUCGGAUUGUAAACCUCUGUUCUAAGUGAAGAUAAUGACAUUAGCUUAGGAGAAAGCCACGGCUAACUACGUGCCAGCCGCUGC
This 397-nucleotide ribosomal RNA is filed under the name uncultured bacterium. RNAcentral describes it as "bacterial SSU rRNA". It matches the Rfam family "Bacterial small subunit ribosomal RNA", at positions 108 to 518 of the family's 1533-position model. The record is from RNAcentral.